GAUGAAGAACGUAGCGAAAUGCGAUAAGUAAUGUGAAUUGCAGAAUUCAGUGAAUCAUCGAAUCUUUGAACGCACAUUGCGCCCGCCAGUAUUCUGGCGGGCAUGCCUGUUCGAGCGUCAUUUCAACCCUCAAGACCCCUUCGGGGGACUUGGUGUUGGGGACCGGCACAGGGGCCUGCCUGCUUGUCUUGCAGCGCCCUCGCCGCCCCCGAAAUGAAUUGGUGGCCUCGUCGCGGCCUCCCCUGCGUAGUAGCACAACCUCGCAACGGGAACGUGACGGCGGCCACUGCCGUAAAACAACCCCAAUUUUAUUAGAGUUGACCUCGAAUCAGGUAGGAAUACCCGCUGAACUUAAGCAUAUCAAUAAGCGGAGGA
Molecule: unclassified non-coding RNA, 375 nt
Filed under: soil metagenome
Description: partial contains 5.8S ribosomal RNA, internal transcribed spacer 2, and large subunit ribosomal RNA
Rfam family: 5.8S ribosomal RNA (bases 1-120)
Source: RNAcentral